This 326-nucleotide ribosomal RNA is filed under the name uncultured eukaryote. RNAcentral describes it as "partial 18S ribosomal RNA". It matches the Rfam family "Eukaryotic small subunit ribosomal RNA", at positions 1470 to 1796 of the family's 1831-position model. The record is from RNAcentral.
CCCCUAGAUGUUCUGGACCGCACGCGCGCUACACUGAACAGUUCAACAAGUCUUAACCUUGGCCGAUAGGUCUGGGUAAUCUCCAAAUUUCGUCGUGAUGGGGAUAGAUUAUUGCAAUUAUUAAUCUUCAACGAGGAAUGCCUAGUAAGCGCAAGUCAUCAGCUUGCGUUGAUUACGUCCCUGCCCUUUGUACACACCGCCCGUCGCUCCUACCGAUUGAAUGGUCCGGUGAAGCGUUCGGACCGUGGCCUUUGGACGGUUCGCCGUCUGUUGGCUGCGGGAAGUUCGUUAAACCUUAUCAUUUAGAGGAAGGAGAAGUCGUAACA